RNAcentral lists this ribosomal RNA (449 nucleotides) under uncultured bacterium. RNAcentral's name for it is "partial 16S ribosomal RNA". It matches the Rfam family "Bacterial small subunit ribosomal RNA", at positions 328 to 792 of the family's 1533-position model. The record is from RNAcentral.
UCUCCAGACUCCUACGGGAGGCAGCAGUGGGGGAUAUUGCACAAUGGGGGAAACCCUGAUGCAGCGACGCCGCGUGGGUGAAGAAGCGCCUCGGCGCGUAAAGCCCUAUCGGCAGGGAAGAAGAAAUGACGGUACCUGAAUAAGAAGCACCGGCUAAAUACGUGCCAGCCGCCGCGGUAAUACGUAUGGUGCAAGCGUUAUCCGGAUUUACUGGGUGUAAAGGGGGCGCAGACGGCAGCGCAAGCCAGGAGUGAAAGCCCGGGGCCCAACCCCGGGACUGCUCUUGGAACUGCGCGGCUGGAGUGCAGGAGGGGCAGGCGGAAUUCCUGGUGUAGCGGUGAAAUGCGUAGAUAUCAGGAGGAACACCGGUGGCGAAGGCGGCCUGCUGGACUGCGACUGACGUUGAGGCCCGAAAGCGUGGGGAGCAAACAGGAUUAGAUACCCUAGUA